RNAcentral lists this transfer RNA (64 nucleotides) under Cherax cartalacoolah. RNAcentral's name for it is "tRNA-Asp". Lineage: Eukaryota; Metazoa; Arthropoda; Malacostraca; Decapoda; Parastacidae. The record is from RNAcentral.
UAAAAAUUAGUUAAUUUUAUAACGUUAGCUUGUCAAGCUAAAAUAAUCUUAUUGAUAUUUUUAC